RNAcentral lists this long non-coding RNA (2421 nucleotides) under Homo sapiens (human). Its description in RNAcentral is "non-protein coding lnc-CCDC171-8:1". Lineage: Eukaryota; Metazoa; Chordata; Mammalia; Primates; Hominidae. The record is from RNAcentral.
GCUACGAUCUAGCCACUGGGAACCCAGCCGUGGACAGGGGAGAGGAUGCCCAGCUCCCAGGCAGCUUAUGGUCUUGUGAAGAGCCAACAUUUUAGUUGAAUCCUGCUACUUCCUGCUACUCUGCAUCAAGAACCAAACAGAAGUACAGAGUCCUCUCCGUUCACAAAAAAAGCCAAUUUCUUUUUAUAAAAUUAACAGAAAGUUACCAAAUACAGUUCUGUACACUGAAAGUUACCACAUGUAAAGCAAGCAUACAUAUUGCCUCGCAUUCCAGCCAGCAGGGCAGUCUCAGUGUGGAACCCCCCUGCUGAAUGGCACCUCUGGAAGGUAUGCAGCAGGCAGUACUGCCAACCAGAAAUGGCCGGGGCUUUCAGGAGACAUCACUGCUUUGGAGUUUCUUGCAGAAAACUUUCACAUUCAUCUCACACACAAGGAUUGCAAACUGCUUCCUUUUGUGUGUGUGUGUGUGUGUGUGUGUGUGUGUAUGUUCUCUGAUCAAAGGAAAGUGGGAUACUCUGUAAUACUCUGUAAUCAAUGAUAUGAAAUGGAAUUACACCCUGAGUACACUGUAAUGGGCAUUGUGGAUUUAGGUUAGGGGAGAAAAGUUGGCCUCCCAAAAUUUCUGUAUUUGGAGGGACCAGUAGACUUGUGUUUUUUGAUGACUUGGAUGUGUGAUGGUGUGGGAGGACAGUCUCAUCAAAUAUAAUUUACUCAGUAUUUAUUGAGUGCCUACUAUGUACCAAUCCUCUGGUUAUAUAAAAACAAAUAAUACAGCAUUUCUUCUUCAUGGAUAGAGUGGCUAAGUCGGGGACCUGCACAUAAACCAAGCACACUACAGUGGGUAAGUGUUCUAAGGGUCUGUGCACAGCACAUUACACUAUGACAUGUUAAGGCAUGCAGUAAUCUCUUAGUGCCUAUGGUGGGGAUGAAAGAUUUUCUCCUCAUCUCUGAAUGGCUGGGUGGAACCCCAGCAUGGAGCCUCGGCUGGAAACUAGAGGAUUCUGGACAAAGACGAGGACAGGCUCUAAUGUCAGGCCUUGGAACCAUCUGAGGUCACCACCUGUUAAGCACGCUUAACCUCUGUGGACCCAAGGUGGUGUGUGACAAGCAUCCCCAGGGCUUGCUGGACAACCAUUACUUUUUAUUACGUUUCUUACUGUCAGGUGCUCCGAAAUCCACAUGGACUGCUCUUAUGAUUUCAGGUUAUCCCAAAAGAGAAACUCAAGAAUCAGUGAUGAGCACAGCCGGGAGUGAGCCGGCUGCCUAUCUCAAAAGGGCACAUCACCAUAAUCACAGAUAUACCAUGAGCAUAUGCAGAAAGAAUGUACCGAGGGAGUGUGUGUCAGGAGCGGCCAAGAGGAUACAUAAACCAGGUGCCCCUCCCAGCAUCCCUCUCCCCCACCAAAGCAGUGCCUUUAAAAUAUGUGAUAGGUGCCCACAUUGUCUCUCUGGCCCCGCAGAAUGCCCCUCCCCCAACAGCCACCUUUGCUGCUCUUCGUCUAAAUCCACCCGGGGUCUCCCCUGGGCUGGCUGUUGCCUUCAUAUUUCAUGCGGAAUGCGCAGCUUCCCAGGAGCCGGACGCAUGCCCUGCAUUCUGAUGCAUCGGCCGGCUCUGACACCAGCCAGCUCCAGAGCAUGCCUAAUGAGGAGGCUGACACCGAGGCAGAAGAGCCAGGCCGGGCUGUGGACGGCCCGCUGCAAACAGGGAGUGGGGUGACAGGAAGGCACCAAGGGUGAACCCGGGGGAAAGAUGGCAGUUGCCUUUUUAAGACACGACUCUAGCAUCAGAUACUACAAACAUGGGCCAAUUUAAACCACACCAGGAAUGAAUCACAGCCUCGAAUAAAGAGCAAUUUGGAUCAAGGAACUUCCUUGGGGAAAGCAUAAAACUAAAAGAGGAAGGAGAAGCGGCAAACACUAAGAGAAGGCAGAAGCUUUGAAAUCACUCAUAUUUCAGUAGGCAGAGUGGUUGCCCAUUUUAGUUUUUCUUCCAGUGUAGAGCUCCUUCAAGUUUCCUUAGAGACCACUUCAUUAUCUAAAAGAUGCUGCUGAACAGAAGUUUUUCCUUUCCUGAAAGCCUCAUCUACCUUAAUUUCACACAUUAUUCCUCGUUUUGACUGGCUCUAUCAGGAUAAAUUGACCCUUGCUUCCCAUGGUAUUUAUGGCAUUUAUCCUUGGGGUAGAGCCAGUACCGACAAUCACCAUCCCAAAGCUACGAGGAUGCGAUGGUAACAUGCUCAUCAGCCAUCUACUUAACACUUUGCCCAAGCCUAGUCCCGUUUCAUCAUCCCAGCAACUUGAUGAGUUAGGUGCAGAUGAGAAAACCAAGAAUGACAGAAGUUUAUCCAAGGCCAUACAUCAGACCAACGGUCUCAAACAUGGGACCGCCUUCAGUACUUUCCAAUGAGCUGGGUACCCACU